RNAcentral lists this ribosomal RNA (422 nucleotides) under uncultured Hymenobacter sp. RNAcentral describes it as "bacterial SSU rRNA". It matches the Rfam family "Bacterial small subunit ribosomal RNA", at positions 355 to 774 of the family's 1533-position model. Lineage: Bacteria; Pseudomonadati; Bacteroidota; Cytophagia; Cytophagales; Hymenobacteraceae. The record is from RNAcentral.
UAGGGAAUAUUGGGCAAUGGGCGAGAGCCUGACCCAGCCAUGCCGCGUGCAGGAAGAAGGCUUUCUGAGUCGUAAACUGCUUUUGAUAGGGAAGAAUAAGCUUCACGUGUGGAGUGAUGACGGUACCUACAGAAUAAGCACCGGCUAACUCCGUGCCAGCAGCCGCGGUAAUACGGAGGGUGCGAGCGUUGUCCGGAUUUAUUGGGUUUAAAGGGUGCGUAGGCGGCCGUUUAAGUCUGGGGUGAAAGCCCGCUGCUCAACAGCGGAACUGCCCUGGAUACUGGAUGGCUUGAAUACAGUGGAGGUUGGCGGAAUGGACUGAGUAGCGGUGAAAUGCAUAGAUACAGUCCAGAACCCCGAUUGCGAAGGCAGCUGACUACACUGGUAUUGACGCUGAGGCACGACAGCGUGGGGAGCGAACA